This 429-nucleotide ribosomal RNA is filed under the name uncultured bacterium. RNAcentral describes it as "bacterial SSU rRNA". It matches the Rfam family "Bacterial small subunit ribosomal RNA", at positions 355 to 776 of the family's 1533-position model. RNAcentral also lists the same sequence under 1 other name. The record is from RNAcentral.
UGGGGAAUAUUGGACAAUGGGGGCAACCCUGAUCCAGCCAUGCCGCGUGUGUGAAGAAGGCCUUCGGGUUGUAAAGCACUUUUGUUGGGGAAGAAAAGCACUGGGCUAAUACCUUGGUGUCAUGACGGUACCCAAAGAAUAAGCACCGGCUAACUUCGUGCCAGCAGCCGCGGUAAUACGAAGGGUGCAAGCGUUACUCGGAAUUACUGGGCGUAAAGCGUGCGUAGGCGGUUUGUUAAGUCUGUCGUGAAAGCCCCGGGCUCAACCUGGGAAUGGCGAUGGAAACUGGCGAGCUAGAGUACGGUAGAGGAGAGUGGAAUUCCCGGUGUAGCAGUGAAAUGCGUAGAGAUCGGGAGGAACAUCAGUUGCGAAGGCGGCUCUCUGGACCAGUACUGACGCUGAGGCACGAAAGCGUGGGGAGCAAACAGG